This 2372-nucleotide long non-coding RNA is filed under the name Triticum aestivum (bread wheat). RNAcentral's name for it is "long non-coding RNA (TAES_LNC022115)". The record is from RNAcentral. Lineage: Eukaryota; Viridiplantae; Streptophyta; Magnoliopsida; Poales; Poaceae.
AACAAAACACACUCUUCGAUUCAUCACAAGAUACCAUUGAUUAAUACAUUCAUUCAAGCAUAUAUACAAGAUUCAUUAUUUGCUACACUCAAGUCAGCUACAACCAAUAAGGAAAUAAGUAAGUCAACAUACAAGACGUUGUCUAUUACAAAAUAUGACGGCUAAGCUCCUAAGAGACCCAAUUGUUCGAUCACUUGACUACUACAAGAUAAUAAGGAAGAGACCAAAUACCUUCGAUCACCGAGCUGACCUCAACUUCCAUAUCCACGAAAUGUGUCAAACAUGCUAUGAACAAAACCGAUCAUCAGAACAUCUUGUAUCAACUUGUGGACGUGCCAUUGUCACUGCAAAAGAACUUAAAUGUUUGAGCAAUCUUAUAAAGGAGAAUUUGUUCAAAUUUGUAAGUUGCCCUUGAUCCCAAAGAUCUAAAAACUGAAGAUGUACUACAAAUAGUUUGUUACAGAAGAUAUCCUUAAUAAAGCAUCAACAAAAGUCAGGCUAGCAACUAGCAUAUCACAUGCCUUAAUAGAAAAUUUAUGGGCUCAUUGACUUAGAUCUGUUAAAAGGCAUAACGAAUAAGGUUCUUAUUGUAACUUUACAGAUUUGUAUUUGAAGUUCCUCAACCAACAAAUAAUCAGAUAUGCACUUGUACAUGUACCAGCAGUCAUAAACGUGGUAGCAGGAAGUGCACUUGGUGAAAAAAGGCAUUUCGAAGACCAUAUGCUUGCACAUGCAUCUUGGUUUAACAGAUGCACUCUAGUUAGGCAUUGUCUAGUGUGAGUAAUUGCUAGGAUGAUCUUUACACAAUUUAUAAUAAAUCAUGCCUGCCAUUUACUAUGUGCUCUGGGUUCAUCUAUAGUCCAUUUAAUUACUACAUGCGCUCACUUCAUCUACAAGCCACUAAACUAUUCACGGACCUAGCAUAAUUAUUGAUAUCCAUUGGUAAGCAAAUCUGAUUCAGAAUCUAAACUCGGAUGAAUCUAUUUAGAAAAUGUAAGAAAGAUACCUAGCAAGUAAAUGGUGUUACAUCUUCCAUCACGACAAGAAAGAACAAAUGGUUAGAGCAUGCACGACUGUAAGAAAGGACAUCCACCCAUCAGUUGAGCUAAGAAGUUGCCCUGCUGAAAAUUAUGUGCACCAGUUUAAGGCGAACAUCUAAGAAGUAUAAAAUAAAUGGGACACAUUGCUAGCAGUAAAACAAAAUCACGUAUAUGCAUAGUGCAGGGAUGCCUCAGUUGGAACAAGGCAUGACUCAAGUUUGGUGCACAAAUCAAUAUUUACAAUGAACAAGCGGAUAAAAUAGAUCCUUAAAGAAUAGGACCUCCUACCUAAAUAUAUAUAUAGAAGUCCACGAACAAUUUUUAUGUGCAUGUUUAUCGAUGAAACCUUGUUACGAAGCUGUAUUUGGUCUGGACACACGGUGAGAAGGAAGAUGUUCCCGUGACAUGGUUUGUGAUGUGAUGCUGUUCGAUGAGCUUGAUGAUGCCAUUCACAGGACUGUUCUUCACGAUCACCAGCAUUUCAGCUUGCAUAUGUAAGUUCAUUUUUUGUUUCUUUUUGUGAAUCGACGAGAAGUGAAUAUAUGCGGCAUGAUUUUCAGAAUGGAAUUGGUUAAGCUGACCUUGAGAGAAACUCCACAGAAAUGGAGGUAGUGGUUCAAAAGUGUGUUCAUCCCCUCCUCGGUCUUCCUGUAUGCCUUGAGCUCAUUCUGAAGCUGGCUUGGAUCAACCUUUCAUAAUCCUGCGGCACGAGAGUUGAACGCAUUAGUUGAUAUAUAGAUAGAUAGAAGCGCGUGACUAAAAUUCCGAAACAGAAGUAGCAUCAAUACAAGUAGUACAAAAAAAACAUUUAAUUGGUGUAUCAUUAAUUACUUUGUUGUGCAAAUUAAUUGGCAGAGUUUGGAGCUUUUACGGAUCAUGAUUCUGUGGGCGGGUUGAUGGACAUGCAGCAGGACAAAAAAGAAGGUAACAUUAGCCCCUCCCUCAGCAGCCUCGCGCUCGGAGGAAAGGAGCUCCCCAUAGACACAAUAGCAAUAGAUCCGGUGACCCUACUGGAUCCGGUUGGAGGAGUGGAGCAUGGAGACGGCGACGCACAUGGAGGAGUGGAUGAGGAUGAAUGUCAUGGAAUAUAAUUCAAAUAAGACACACCAUGGACAUCUUGCCAGAGAAGAGCAUAAAUCGUUGCCACAUGGUGACUAGGCGAAUUAAAUAAGUAUAACGGGUUGCCUUCAUAGAAAAUUAGAGAGGUUGAUCACAAUCGCCUACCAUAUAUGUUUGUACCAUUCUUUAAUAGUAUCCAUGUACAAAUCAGCCAAGCACCACCCACGAAAGACAUGGCCUUAUCCAGCGGCACAUACGAGCUAUAGGUUGGUC